Molecule: non-coding RNA, 107 nt
Organism: Trametes cingulata
Lineage: Eukaryota; Fungi; Basidiomycota; Agaricomycetes; Polyporales; Polyporaceae
Source: the annotation of a GenBank genome assembly
GGCGAGAUGGCCGAGCGGUCUAAGGCGCCAGACUAAGGUGUGUGGAAGCAUUCCAUGGUAAGCUUAUCUGGUCCGAAAGGGCGUGGGUUCGAAUCCCACUCUCGUCA